RNAcentral lists this unclassified non-coding RNA (2185 nucleotides) under Camponotus floridanus (Florida carpenter ant). RNAcentral's name for it is "uncharacterized LOC105258302, transcript variant X1". The record is from RNAcentral. Lineage: Eukaryota; Metazoa; Arthropoda; Insecta; Hymenoptera; Formicidae.
CGCACUGUAAUAUAUCAAAAUGGUGAAUCAGUCAGUAAGAAACCGUCAAGAAUUAUUGUCAGUGCUCUCGAUGAAUGUUAAAGUAAUUUAAAAAUAAUUGCGAAUGUGACGCGUUCUAUUAAUAACGUACAGAAUGCAAACAGCGUAUUUCUAUUGCCAAUUUAUUUGGGGUGUAUGGUGUUUCUUACAAGUUACUGCCACCGACUAUGUCAAACUGUCAUAUGAUGGACCAACUGUUUUGGGUGCUAACAUCACUUUCAGAGCAGAUUUGUACACAGAGCAAAGUUGGUUUCCACAGAAACAAUACAAAUACGUUUGGUCCGACUCGUUAAAGAAUACAUAUAUGAUUAUAACACUAAAUAGAACAGUAUUUUGGAAUACAAGUUAUCCACGGGAAAAUAACACUUCUGGAAAUUACAAGAUGACUUUACAAGUCUAUAACAAGAUUCAUAAGUUGUUUCCAAUCUGGAUCUUUGUUACAAGUGAUUCUAUUGAUUUUGAGAUUACUGAAUAUCUGAAUGGUAAUAUGACUAUAAAACAAAAUAAUAAAACCAUAAUGAGGGAUUAUAUCUCUUCGAUAAACGAAGCAAAACUAAUAGCAGAUAUACAUAAAGAAGAUUAUGACUUUAUAAUACAGAAGGCAAUGACAAUAUCAACAUUUUGGUUUAUCGAUUGCCAGUAUUAUGGCCAAACAAAUGAUUUUACCUUUGCUUACAAUUUUACAAAUCCUGGGACAACGCAUGAAAUAGAAGCUUUGGUAAUUGCUUCGGACAAUCCACCAACGACAACAACCAUUUUGCCACCAACUACGACUACAGCCACUAAUGUGACAACAGUCCCGCCGAAUAUUACUACAGCAAGUUUAAAUGGAACUCAUGUUACAGCUGUAACUACAACUAUGUUGCCAACAACUAUCGCGAGUGCAAACCCUGCAAUAAUUGCAUCUCCAAUCACUGUAAGCAUGACAGAUGCUACCAAUAUAUCUUUUCCUUAUGUUUGUUCAAACAUUUCUUUCAUUCCACCGGAUCCUAAAAAAAUAUAUGGCUACUUCCACAAGAAAAUCUACGUUCGUGUUCCUAUAUCAAACAUCUCAGUGGAAGGUACAAACUGGAUCCAACCAUGGGAUAUGCUGUCUCUGAAUGUAACUUGCAAGGGGUCAGGACCCUUUUCUAAGUGUCUUCAAUUCCACCAUGGAAAAUAUAAUGUAACAGGAAAUGAGACAUGCAGCAAUGUGGAACACUUGCAUUCUUGCAAUUUCUCCAUUCUUCAUUAUUUCCUUGAGCCCAGUGUGUACACAAUAUUGAUUAUAUUGAACAAUGAAAUUGGUGCACAUAUUUAUCCAUUGACAAUAAACAUUUAUAAAGUUACAACAAAACCACAAUUGUCGGUUAUCGUAGUACCAGUCACUUGUUCGCUCGUUGCUGUGGUGCUGAUAGUAUUUGGUGUAGCAUAUUAUAUUCAGAGCAGAGCAAGAUUUACAGUAGAAGUUGCGAACUUCGAUUUUGGGCAAAGUAAUCCAGAAAUGGAAUACAAAACGUUUACAGAACGUUUACGCGACUCAUUUAAUAACACUGUAAGACCUGGAAGUGAACGGCCAAAUAUACGUUAUUAUGGCAGCAUGAAUCAAUGAAAAAUUGUGCAAAUUAUGUGACUUCUCUAUUGCCGUCUAAUCUUUCCAUUAUUUUCCAAUGCAGGAUAUGAACCGCUUAGCAAUUCACAAACACUUCAGUGAUGUAUGCAUUAACAAGAAGCAAUUUUCCAAAAAGCGAUGUUAACAAAUGUUUUUGCGAAGAGCAAAAACAAGGAAUUCAUCAGAAAAAUAUUCAUCAACAAAUUUAACAGUAUUGAUGAUGGAAAGAUUCGUCGGAUUUUGUUAUUGCAGUAAUAGAUCUCUAAGCGGUUUCGCUUAAAAAUCGUACAAUACUGAUUAUGAAAAAAAAAAAAAGAAAAAUACAUUUGCAAUUGUUCUUUGCAAACAAUCAAAUCGAAAGUUGUACAUAAAGACAAAGAAGUAAUGUAUAUAGGCUGUGAAUUUAGUAUGCAACACAAUAUAUUAGAAUUGCUCUUAAUAUGAUGAAAGGAGAAUUUGAUAUUUUUUUAAAAUUGCAACAAAAAUGAUCAAUUUAUAAUUCUUUUUAUAAUUUAGAAACUAUUAUGUUGAUUACUAAUAAUUACACAUGUAUAU